GCAGUCGAACGGCAGCACGGGGGCAACCCUGGUGGCGAGUGGCGAACGGGUGAGUAAUACAUCGGAACGUGUCCUGGAGUGGGGGAUAGCCCGGCGAAAGCCGGAUUAAUACCGCAUACGCUCUAAGGAGGAAAGGGGGGGAUCUGACCUCUCGCUCGDGGGGCGGCCGAUGGCGGAUUAGCUAGUUGGUGGGGUAAAGGCCUACCAAGGCGACGAUCUGUAGCUGGUCUGAGAGGACGACCAGCCACACUGGGACUGAGACACGGCCCAGACUCCUACGGGAGGCAGCAGUGGGGAAUUUUGGACAAUGGGCGCAAGCCUGAUCCAGCAAUGCCGCGUGUGUGAAGAAGGCCUUCGGGUUGUAAAGCACUUUUGUCCGGAAAGAAAACCCCUGCCCUAAUACGGCGGGGGAUGACGGUACCGGAAGAAUAAGCACCGGCUAACUACGUGCCAGCAGCCGCGGUAAUACGUAGGGUGCAAGCGUUAAUCGGAAUUACUGGGCGUAGCGUGCGCAGGCGGUUCGUUAAGACAGAUGUGAAAUCCGGGCUUAACUGGGAACUGCUUUGUGACUGG
Molecule: ribosomal RNA, 573 nt
Filed under: uncultured Burkholderia sp.
Lineage: Bacteria; Pseudomonadati; Pseudomonadota; Betaproteobacteria; Burkholderiales; Burkholderiaceae
Description: bacterial SSU rRNA
Rfam family: Bacterial small subunit ribosomal RNA
Source: RNAcentral